Molecule: ribosomal RNA, 485 nt
Filed under: uncultured bacterium
Lineage: Bacteria
Description: partial 16S ribosomal RNA
Rfam family: Bacterial small subunit ribosomal RNA
Source: RNAcentral
GAUGAACGCUAGCGAUAGGCUUAACACAUGCAAGUCGAGGGGCAGCGAGGGUAGCAAUCCCUUUUGGCGACCGGCGCACGGGUGAGUAACGCGUAUGUAACCUGCCCGCAACAGGGGGAUAACCCGGCGAAAGUCGGACUAAUACCGCAUAAAACAGGGUUCCCGCCUGGGAAUAUUUGUUAAAGAUUUCUCGGUUGCGGAUGGGCAUGCGUACCAUUAGGUAGUUGGUGAGGUAACGGCUCACCAAGGCUUCGAUGGUUAGGGGUUCGGAGAGGAAGGUACCCCCAAACGGAACUCGGAACCGGACCAGACUCGUACGGGAGGCAGCAGUAAGGUAUACUGGGGGAUGAACGAGAGCCGGAACAAGCCAAGUCGCGUGAAGGAUGACUGCCAUCUUGAUUGUAAACUUCUUGUACAAGACAAUAAAAUGAGAUACGUGUAUCUUAUUGAAUGUACCUGGGCAAUAAGCAUCGGCUAACUACGUG